Molecule: long non-coding RNA, 278 nt
Filed under: Carica papaya (papaya)
Lineage: Eukaryota; Viridiplantae; Streptophyta; Magnoliopsida; Brassicales; Caricaceae
Description: long non-coding RNA (CPAP_LNC005782)
Source: RNAcentral
CUCUUGAUAAUCAUUCCAAGCCUUCAUGUUUCCACAAUGACAGGUUGGAGCUGGUUGGUAAGUUUUGAGCUCGUCCCAAAUAGUUUUCAUCCACGUAUAAUAGGCGUUGAUGCUGAGUGAUCCUUGAAUAAGGCCAUUCAUGUUCUACUUCAGCUGGUAGAUGCGUGGAGCAUUGCUUUGUUGAUAACGGAGCCUCAAAUAUGUCCAGAUGGAUUGUGCAUUCUCAUGGUAUAAUAAAUUAUCAGCUAUUUCCUUUGUUACAGCAUUCAACAACCAAG